RNAcentral lists this long non-coding RNA (724 nucleotides) under Manihot esculenta (cassava). RNAcentral describes it as "long non-coding RNA (MESC_LNC008387)". Lineage: Eukaryota; Viridiplantae; Streptophyta; Magnoliopsida; Malpighiales; Euphorbiaceae. The record is from RNAcentral.
UGGUCAAAGCUUCGCUAUUAAUGUAUUAUUGCUCAAACCCAUCUGGGAAUAAAAAGAGAAUCUGCAAACUCAUGUAACUUUUUAUCUUUUCUGGCUACCCUAGAUUGAUGCUCAAAGAUCCAUUGAUGAGGUAUUUGAAGAUGUCAAAGGUGUCUUCUCCAAGCUCAAACCAAAAAGUGUUGUGGGCUUAAAGAAUGAAUGCAACAUCCUGCAAAUUGGAGCCCAAGUCUCAUCCAUUAUCUAAAGGAAUGAAAAAACUUGCUUUAUCUGCUACUAUCUUCUUUUUUUUNNNNNNNNNNNNNNNNNNNNNNNNNNNNNNNNNNNUUUUCUCAUUUGAUUAGCCCUAGUACACAGGUAAUUAUAUAUAAGAAAAAAGAACAUGGAAACCCAGCUAUAUUAACCUUACUUUAUGAGCAGAAGAGAAAUGCUUAGCAGAAGCAAUCAUGGUGGCCUCUGGACCAGCAAGUUGGUGUUCUUUUUCUCUUAAAAUCUUCAUCUUUAACAGCCACACUGAAGCACGAGGCUAAUGACAUAAUGAUCCAUGGGCAUGGCUGUCCAUUCUCUGCCUUUUGAUCCUUGCUCAUCUUCUUAAUUACACACUGGUGAUUAAGCUAGUUUUGACGAAGCAUGAUAUGUAAUUAUUUUUUAAAAUUAAUUAAAAUGUUUACAAUUUUAUAUAAGCACAGUUUCUUUAUAUUAAAAUAUUUUUCAUUUUUGGAUAAAA